GGUGGCGUAGGGUAGGGUCCUGUAAUUUUUUCCUGUUCUCGAGCUAAGUUUAGUUUGGGUUAGGACGCGAUGCGUAGCGCGAAGAAGGCAGGCACGCAAGCGGUCUCGACUCUCAAACUCCUCUACCGCCCGCCGCCACAGCUCCUGCAGAUGCCGCUCCUGUCCCGGUGGCUCCUCGUCGAGUAGUGCGGUACCAGUAAGAGGCAGCGUUCACCCGUGGUCGAAGACUCCCUGGGGGCCGUGUUGUUCCCCGACCGGAAGUGGCUCCGCCUCGCGCUGCGCGUGAUGUAGGCCCCCGAGGAGGGCGGCCGGUAGCAGAGAGUCCUCGUGGUCCUCUUCUUCUAGUACGUGUUGGAGGCGUCAAUGUGGCACGGGGACGUAGCGAUGCAGCGGUACUACCUGGAGGUCCUCUCCUUGCUCUCCGAGAAGAUGUUCGAGGAGUAGCUGUUGCAGCUCCUCGACGAGGGGCAGCAGAUGUGCGGGCAGCAGCCGCUCCGGACGGUCUUCAUGCCGUCGUAGAUGGCGGCGGGCGUCCCCGAGAUGUAGUCGGAGUUCCUGUUCCCGUUCCACGAGCUCCACGAGUUCUUGACCGGACUCUCCUCGUAGGUCCAGUAGCAGCAGUGGCUGCCGCUCGCGUAAAACCCCGAGCCUCUAGACCCGACGGUCCCAUACCCAUAGGGCCAACCGUUUGACAGAGACAUGUGGCGGGAGCCUCCUCAAGCGGGUAGUCGAACGGACGGUUAAUGGUAGCUACAACCGUGGUUGUUACUCUGUAACGAGUUGCUGCUCAUGAUGUAGCCCGAGGCAGUUGCCGCACGAUGGCCGCUCCUUAUGGUACUCGAAGAAGUUCUCAAGUACUUACGUCACUUCGUUUUGAUGCCGCUCUUUCAGGACCAGGUCAAACUCCUGAAACGGUUGGUGUUACGUAAGCUAAACGAGCGUUUCAUGUCGUUCUCGGUAGAGCAGAAGUUGCUACUAUAAGUCCCGUGUCGUAGUCACCAGGAGCGUCCGGAGAACCGCCGGGACUUCUACUAGCCACCUCCGGAACACCUAGUCUGGAUGGAGAAGGAACCACGACCUCUCCGACCUUGACCGUAACGUCUCGAGUAACGAGAACUCUACAGCUUUGUGUGACUUGAGGGCCACCUGCUGACGGCGUUCUUCUAGACCGACCACCUGAGGUUCCCAGACGAACAACUCAGGUCUUUUCUCAGAGACGUCGUGAAGUUCUUCGGCAAGCGAGUACUCGUGCUUCUUGACUUCUGGGACGACCUCCGGCAGGUCAGGUAGUUCGGUUGGCACGACUAGCCUUGGAGGCCGCAGCCCUUCUGGAAGUGGGUUCUUCACUAGCUCCGGUACCGGAGGAAGUUGCUCUUUGGGCAGUAGAAGAGCGACAGCUUGGGUUGCAGCGUGAGCCUCACGUGCCGGCUCCUCCGGAUGUGGACCUCGUUCCCGUGCCGCCACAAGCGCUCGCCGUCGGGCAAGCUGGGGCACCUCAUGCUCCCCUUCUGCAUGCACGGGCCCGUCAGGUUGUUGCGGAUGCACAAGGGGCCGAAGCCGGAGCCGCAGCAGUAGAGGCCGCGGUAGGCGCAGGUGCUGCUGUACGAGGAGCGGCGGAGCCUCCGCGACCGCCUCCUCCGCUGGGUCCUCUUGAAGCUGUUCCCCGAGUAGAAGGGCGGGAAGUGGUUGUAGGCGUUCUAGAGCCGGUCGUAGCGGCGGUUCCACCGGCGGUUCCGGAUGCUGGACCCGGACCGGUCGGCCGACGGCGCCGGGCUGCUGGACAAGUUCAUGCGGCUCUCGACGUACAUGUGGGGCGAGAUGGCGUCGAUGUCCACUCGCGCCGCCGUCAAAACGCCGCUCCUGCCUGCCUCAGUCAGUUAUUUUAGUUAGAGGAAGGGGGUAUACGGUUGGUCGAGUUCCAAGUCGCUGCGUUGGAUUUUGUAUCCGAACAAAAAAGACACAGGCAGAUACGCAUACACAUGAGAACACGACAAGAUGAAACGAAAUGAAAACAUGACAUUACAUGACAAAUGCCCUCGUGCCGUGCGUGCGUGGACAGAUAGACACAGCUCCACGCAGCAGCAGCAGCUAAGAAAACAGUCUAACUCAAUUUGCUCACAUUAUCAAACUACUAAACACAAUGGUCCCAACGAGAAAAUGAAAGGUGCGAGCUGUUUACACGACUUCGUAAUCCUACACAAACACCUGCGACUUAAAGGCUCGAGCUCGAGUUUAAUCGAGUCCACUUGUCAUUUUAGGUUUUUAUAAUUUUAUUUUAAAUUUUUUAAGACCUUAAUAAGGUCUCGUUUGUAACUAUUUACAAAAGCCACGAGUAUUUUAAGGUAGUUUCUUACUGUAAGCACCUUCUCCACCGUUGUUACUGUAGGCGCUUACAGUAAAGUACUACUUUUAAAAGUUCGUGAACUUUGUAAACAGUUUUAAGUAAUUUUUUUAGUCAAAAAAGGUAAAUAAAAAUAAAAAAACACUCGAACUACAACCAGCACUCGAGUUCGAGCGCUCAUCUUCUACUGAAAACACACAAACCAGGAGAGAGGUUGUACGUAGUUUGUACAAAGUCAACGCAGUGUAAGGUAGCGGCCACUCGUACGUAGUUUGUACACAACCAGGAGAGAGUUUCGGGUGGAGUUUCUAUACUCGUUUGUGACCGGUAGCAGGAGUAGCUAGGUAGAUAGCGCAAGGAGGGCAGAGACAUCCCGACCAGAAGCUCCCAUACAAACUAUCGGACGUAAUCCAGGUUGGUUUGGGUGCCCCACGUUUUUACAGGAUAAACUAUCGGAUAUAAGUGACAAACCAAUCGUAUCGUGUUUUGAAUUUCAUGGGAUGGUCCGUCCGAGCAACCUUGUCACCUUAGCGGGCAAAGGGGAGUCGGUUUGAGCCUGCUAUGUUCCUUCCCCUUGUGCCGCAGUUCGAGUACUCUCGUUCCUCUACCACGCUCUAGCACGCGCAGGGAUUUUUAGACGUCCUUCUUAAACACCGGUGGAGGACGGCUUAGCCAGCGGGAUAUGUCGGUGGGAGCCGAGUGCUGGGUUUGAGCGCGGGGGAGUAAGCUCGAGAGGCAAAACGCGCCUAGCAGUAGCUGCUCGUCCAUUCGCUGUGCAGAAGAAGCCGACCGCCAGCUGUUACCGCUGCUAAACAGAAGAAGGACAAAGGCUGGUCAAGGUGCGGAGGUAGCCCGAAUUAGCUACCAACAUUCAAGCCAGUCAGGCAGGAAGGAUGAUUAAGAUAGAAUCUAUACACUCGUACACCAUCGUGAUAUCUGGCAGCUAGGUACUCUUACACUACAAAACCAUCGAUCACAACUACUUAACCAUCGUACUAUCCACAACGAACAUUCGAAACUACUACAAGUACAACAAGGAACAGUUGUUCCUACUAUGGUACCAUCUAAACCAUGAUCGGAGACUUAGCCUCGUACACAUCAUACGAUCAAACGUUCAUACAUCCACACCAUCACACAACUUGAAGUACCGUACGAUACUCUAACUUCUAGUCAGUAUCCCACUACACAACUUGAAGUACCAGGUACACAUUAUACGAAUGAUAGGUACGCAUCACCAGGAAGAAUGACAGGUACACAUCACACAAAGUGUUUAGCACUGCGAUUGCGAACAUCCUGUACUCCAACGUUCUAAAAUCGGUAAAGUAACAGAACAAGCUCUCGGUUAAGGGCAGUAGGAUAAAACUCCUGGGGAUCGGAUACUGGCUCCUAGUCUAUAGAGACUUAAUCUAAGGGAGCUCCCCAGACGUUCCGCAGAUGGUAAACACGGAUCGUGUAUACACAGUCUACGCAGAUUACAACAACGAAGAUGUGUAUUCCGUUGGUGGUUCCGAUCCUCCCAUUUCUACCGACCCUCCCCCUUGAGUUACUUUACAGUCAGCAAGAAUGAUGAAAGCACGAAUUGUUUAUACAUUCUAGUAUCAGUUGUCCCAUUCCUGACUAUUCCCGAAGUUCCUCCACGUGAACUUUAGACAAAGGUUCUUCCACAAACUGUACACCGGUUCUCCAGUGAAGCUGUGUUCAGACGUUAGUGGAGUCCUUCACCUCACGGUCUACCUAGGACUAUGCAGAGGUUGCAUAGAUAUUAAAAAAUAACAAAGUACGACAAUAUAAUAGUAACAGUCUACAAAAUGUUAGUAAGAUAUCGUUGAAAUAUAGUAAAAACCCCUGAUUGGAUAACUGUAUCACGGAUCACGGUCAACGACAAAAAACGAACAGAAAAUGAAGCGUCUUUUAGUUAUGGUUUGCCUCAGGUUGUGUCGCUUUUGAAAAACCUAUAAAAAAGACCUGGUCUUCCGCGUGCUACUUGGUUCC
RNAcentral lists this ribosomal RNA (4333 nucleotides) under Triticum aestivum (bread wheat). RNAcentral describes it as "partial small subunit ribosomal RNA". Lineage: Eukaryota; Viridiplantae; Streptophyta; Magnoliopsida; Poales; Poaceae. The record is from RNAcentral.